UACCCGGUGGUGUAACGGUAGCACAAGGGACUUUGGUUCCCUUUGUCUAGGUUCGAAUCCUAGCCGGGUAAUCA
Molecule: transfer RNA, 74 nt
Filed under: Planctomycetaceae bacterium
Lineage: Bacteria; Pseudomonadati; Planctomycetota; Planctomycetia; Planctomycetales; Planctomycetaceae
Also listed under: 1 other name
Description: tRNA-Gln
Rfam family: tRNA
About the family: Transfer RNA (tRNA) molecules are approximately 80 nucleotides in length. Their secondary structure includes four short double-helical elements and three loops (D, anti-codon, and T loops). Further hydrogen bonds mediate the characteristic L-shaped molecular structure. tRNAs have two regions of fundamental functional importance: the anti-codon, which is responsible for specific mRNA codon recognition, and the 3' end, to which the tRNAs corresponding amino acid is attached (by aminoacyl-tRNA synthetases). tRNAs cope with the degeneracy of the genetic code in two manners: having more than one tRNA (with a specific anti-codon) for a particular amino acid; and 'wobble' base-pairing, i.e. permitting non-standard base-pairing at the 3rd anti-codon position.
Source: RNAcentral